GCCAGCCCGCUCAAGAACUUAAAGGAAGUUGACGGGGCCCGCACAAGCGGAGGAGCAUGUGGUUUAAUUCGAUGAUACGCGAGGAACCUUACCUGGGCUCGAACGUAAGAUGACUGUAGGUGAAAGCUUACAUCUCUUCGGAGCAUUUUACGAGGUGCUGCAUGGUUGUCGUCAGCUCGUGCCGUGAGGUGUCGGGUUAAGUCCCAUAACGAGCGCAACCCCUACCUUUAGUUGCCAUCAGGUUAAGCUGGGGACUCUAAAGGAACUGCCUACGCAAGUAGUGAGGAAGGCGGGGAUGACGUCAAAUCAGCACGGCCCUUACGUCCAGGGCUACACACGUGCUACAAUGGCCGAUACAGAGGGCAGCUACCUGGUGACAGGAUGCAAAUCUCCAAAGUCGGUCUCAGUUCGGAUCGGAGUCUGCAACCCGACUCCGUGAAGUUGGAUUCGCUAGUAAUCGCGCAUCAGCCAUGGCGCGGUGAAUACGUUCCCGGGCCUU
RNAcentral lists this ribosomal RNA (499 nucleotides) under uncultured Sphingobacteriales bacterium. Its description in RNAcentral is "bacterial SSU rRNA". It matches the Rfam family "Bacterial small subunit ribosomal RNA", at positions 903 to 1382 of the family's 1533-position model. The record is from RNAcentral. Lineage: Bacteria; Pseudomonadati; Bacteroidota; Sphingobacteriia; Sphingobacteriales.